Molecule: long non-coding RNA, 1067 nt
Organism: Patella vulgata (common limpet)
Lineage: Eukaryota; Metazoa; Mollusca; Gastropoda; Patellidae
Exons: 4
Source: RefSeq, a predicted model, not a curated record
UUAGAGUCAUUUUACGACUGGCCCAGAAACUCACCCCCGUUCGAUUUCCAAUAAUGUUUUGCUUUAUUUUCAGAACUUGCCGUAAUUUACCUCUUCAGAAAUUUACUUUACUUUAUCUAUAGAGAUGUCUGCAUGUGAUACUCCUCCAGCGCUGACUAAUGGCAAAUCAACAUCUGUAUCCAACACGACGGUGGAGUUUCAAUGUUCAUCAGGUUUCAAGAUGUCUGGAUCAUCUGUUGUUAGCUGCGACAGCACUUCGGGUUGGGGAUCCUUGCCAUCUUGUACAGUGAUUGAAACAAAUAACACUUUUUAUACAUCAUUUGCUCCAGAAUGGUUGUUGAUAUUACUGGGUUUUUUAUUUAGCUUAUUAACAUUAGCUUGUAUUGCUGGUCUUUUAUGGUAUUGCUGUUGUAAACCAUGGGGAACAACCGUUUAUCCGGCAGGUAGUGGUGCCAGAGGUGGCUUAUGUCAGUGUUGUAGAGGAAGUGUUGGUCAAUCACAGUAUGCCAGAAAUAAAAGGAUGCACAAUGCUGAAUAUAAAGCAUCAAAUAGGAGAAGUGAGCGUAACAUAGAGGACAAUGUAACUCAUCAUAACGUUACUACAGCUCGUGUUACAGAUCAUCAACAGAACGAUAUUUAUCAAUUGAAUCAACGUCCUAAAGGUGUUUAUACUACAAGUGAUGGUGUUUUGUUGGUACCAGUACAAUCAUAUGAGCCGAACUCUGGAUAUAUGCCAGGUCCGCCAAACAAAAAGACUCGUACGCAGCCUGUACAUACUUUUCGUUCCAGUAACUCACCAAGUUCGGAAAAACAUACUGUUGAUAAAAGAAACAACAAAGAUUUAGGAAUGUGGAUGCCCCACAAGAAUCCGUACAGAGAAAAUAAUACAAGUACCCAUUGAAAUAACAUAUUAAAUGUUGCGCUUGAGUUAUGAACAACACGACAAAGAGAGUUUAGUAGGGGAAUUUUUAUGAGGAGGACCCAAAUGAAACAAAACUUGAUCACAUAACUUUAGUUUAUGAGGAUGCAUAUUUGACAAUCACCUUGUUAACUAGAAUACUAUAUAC